UAUGUGUAAAAUACUUUAUUUUAAAUAAAUAAUAUCUUAUUUUAAAUUAUAUACAAAUAUCGCUAGAAAUAACUAUAACAACAAUUUCUCACAUGGUUUGAUGUAAAGUGUUGGGGUUUAGAAUUAACUGCUUAGCAACAAUAUUAUUACAGCGUAUUGUUAAAGAAUCAGGCUAUAACAUAUUAAAAAAAUCACUUGAAUCGGCCAACAGGUUUAGUAAAUAUAAGACAUCAAAAAUGACAAAAAUUUUAAGUGGACGCAUUUCUAUAUGCACGUAAGUUUAUAUAAAAAUAUAUUAUACUAUAAAAUAUAGUAUAUAAAAAUAUAUUAUAUUGAACUAAAAUCAUCUUAAUACAUACCUUUUAAUAUUCUUUAUAAUUUGGAGCACGAAAUAUUGUAAAAUGGCUGAGUUUUUCUGUAAAUACAGUGAAUAUUAUUUAAAAACAUUUAAAAAUAAAUGAGAACUGUCAGAAUUAACCGGUCUACGCUUAGAUGUUGCCAAGUUUCAACUUCAUGGCUUGUAAAGUAAAGGUGGCUAUGCCUAGACAGUUUUGUUUUUAAAUAAAACUGAAACUGUGUCUAAGCUAAAAUGGAUAAUAUUCUUGAAGAAUUUUUGUUUGGGGACGAAAUUAGCAAAUGCCGUUAUACAUUUAGCAGAUGUACCUGCCUCACAAUUAUUCCAGAAGGAUGAGAUGAAAUUAAAUAUAUAUAAACCAUAAUUCAAUAUCCAAUUUAGAGAACAUUUUCGUAUGUCCAGAACUACUUUCCAGGAACUAUUUAAUUGUAUUGGUCAUAUCCACCAAUUUGAAAACAGAAUAAUUCUAUUGGAAAAAAUUAAUGUUUAUGAUGUGGAUGCUAAGUAAACCAGAGAAUUUGUUGCUGGGGAUACGUUUGGUUUGCCAAAGAGCUCUGGACAUAAGAUUUUCACCCAAAUAAUAUAGAAUUACAAAAAAUUGGAAAUAACUAAUCUUGAAUAUCAAUGUGUAUAUUGAGUUUAAUUUUAUUGUAAAUAUUCUAUAAUAUAAUUUUAUUGUAAAUAUUGUAUUAACACAUUUGUGGACACAUCUUCAUAUGCAGACAGUAAUUUCCCUUUGUAAGUACAUGCAUAUUAGUCGUAUCUGCGAAUGGGUUAAUUGUAAAUCGUAAUCAAUAAAAAUUUUUUGUGAAUCAAUAAAAAACUGGUUUGUUUGAAAAUAAAUGUAGUACAAAUGUG
Diabrotica virgifera virgifera (western corn rootworm) is the source of this 1213-nucleotide long non-coding RNA. RefSeq lists it as uncharacterized. The transcript is spliced from 2 exons. The record is from RefSeq and is a predicted model, not a curated record. Lineage: Eukaryota; Metazoa; Arthropoda; Insecta; Coleoptera; Chrysomelidae.